RNAcentral lists this ribosomal RNA (254 nucleotides) under uncultured bacterium. RNAcentral's name for it is "partial 16S ribosomal RNA". It matches the Rfam family "Bacterial small subunit ribosomal RNA", at positions 524 to 776 of the family's 1533-position model. The record is from RNAcentral.
UACGGGGGGGGGCAAGCGUUGUUCGGAAUUACUGGGCGUAAAAGGCUCGUAGGCGGCCAACUAAGUCAGACGUGAAAUCCCUCGGCUUAACCGGGGAAUGGCGUCUGAUACUGGAUGGCUUGAAUCCGGGAGAGGGAUGCGGAAUUCCAGGUGUAGCGGUGAAAUGCGUAGAUACCUGGAGGAACACCGGUGGCGAAGGCGGCAUCCUGGACCGGCAUUGACGCUGAGGAGCGAAAGCCAGGGGAGCAAACGGG